UGAAUCCUUGUGUCACUUCUUUAGGGUGAAAA
RNAcentral lists this non-coding RNA (32 nucleotides) under Mus musculus (house mouse). The record is from RNAcentral. Lineage: Eukaryota; Metazoa; Chordata; Mammalia; Rodentia; Muridae.